GACGAACGCUGGCGGCGUGCUCAACACAUGCAAGUCGAACGCUGAAGCUCAGCUUUUGUUGGGUGGAUGAGUGGCGAACGGGUGAGUAACACGUGAGUAACCUGCCCCCUUCUUUGGGAUAACGCCCGGAAACGGGUGCUAAUACUGGAUAUUCACUGGUCUUCGCAUGGGGGUUGGUGGAAAGGGUUUUUCUGGUGGGGGAUGGGCUCGCGGCCUAUCAGCUUGUUGGUGGGGUGAUGGCCUACCAAGGCUUUGACGGGUAGCCGGCCUGAGAGGGUGACCGGUCACAUUGGGACUGAGAUACGGCCCAGACUCCUACGGGAGGCAGCAGUGGGGAAUAUUGCACAAUGGGCGCAAGCCUGAUGCAGCGACGCCGCGUGAGGGAUGGAGGCCUUCGGGUUGUGAACCUCUUUCGCUCAUGGUCAAGCCGCAACAAUGGUUGUGGUGAGGGUAGUGGGUAAAGAAGCGCCGGCUAACUACGUG
Molecule: ribosomal RNA, 483 nt
Filed under: uncultured bacterium
Lineage: Bacteria
Description: partial 16S ribosomal RNA
Rfam family: Bacterial small subunit ribosomal RNA
Source: RNAcentral